GCCUGGGUCUGCGGGACAGACCCAGCACUCACGAAACUGAGACAAGAUCACUUGAGCCCAGUAGUUCUGGGCUGUAAUGCACUAUGCUGAUUGGGUGUCUACAUUUAGUUUAGCAUUAAUAUGGUGACCUUCUGGGAGCAGGGGACCACCAGGUUGCCUAAGGAGCGGUGAAUUGGCCCAGGUUGGAAGCAGAGCAGGCCAAAACUCCUGUGCUGAUCAGCAGUGGGAUCAUGCCUGUGAAUAACCACUGUGCUCCUCCCUAGGCAACGUAGUGAGACCU
RNAcentral lists this signal recognition particle RNA (280 nucleotides) under Saimiri boliviensis boliviensis (Bolivian squirrel monkey). Its description in RNAcentral is "Metazoan signal recognition particle RNA (ENSSBOG00000008925.1)". It matches the Rfam family "Metazoan signal recognition particle RNA". From Rfam's summary of the family: The signal recognition particle (SRP) is a universally conserved ribonucleoprotein. It is involved in the co-translational targeting of proteins to membranes. The eukaryotic SRP consists of a 300-nucleotide 7S RNA and six proteins: SRPs 72, 68, 54, 19, 14, and 9. Lineage: Eukaryota; Metazoa; Chordata; Mammalia; Primates; Cebidae. The record is from RNAcentral.